GACGAACGCUGGCGGCGUGCUUAACACAUGCAAGUCGAACGGUGAACCUCUUCGGAGGGGCUCAGUGGCGUACGGGUGGGUAACACGUGGGCAACCUGCCCCCGGCUCUGGGAUAACUGCAAGAAAUUGGGGCUAAUAAGGGAUGUUCACCGCUUCCCGCGUGGGGGGUGGUGGAAAGGGGUUGCGGCGGUGGGUGGGCCCGCGGCCUAUGAGCUUGGUGGUGGGGUAGUGGUGGACCAAGGCGACGAUGGGAAGGCGGCCUGGGAGGGGGACCGGCCACACGGGUCCUGCGAGACGGCGCAGACUGCAACGGUACGCAGCAGUGGGGAACAUUGCGCAAUGGGCGGAAGCCUGACGCAGCGACGCCGCGUUGGGGAUGACGGCCUUCGGGUUGUAAACCACUUUCAACAGGGACGAAGCGCAAUUGACGGUACCUGAAGAAGAAGCACCGGCUAACUACGUG
This 463-nucleotide ribosomal RNA is filed under the name uncultured bacterium. RNAcentral's name for it is "partial 16S ribosomal RNA". It matches the Rfam family "Bacterial small subunit ribosomal RNA", at positions 28 to 507 of the family's 1533-position model. The record is from RNAcentral.